Molecule: transfer RNA, 86 nt
Filed under: Candidatus Woesearchaeota archaeon
Lineage: Archaea; Nanobdellati; Candidatus Woesearchaeota
Description: tRNA-Leu
Rfam family: tRNA
About the family: Transfer RNA (tRNA) molecules are approximately 80 nucleotides in length. Their secondary structure includes four short double-helical elements and three loops (D, anti-codon, and T loops).
Source: RNAcentral
GCCGGGGUAGCAAAGUCUGGCCAAACGCGUAGGACUUAAGAUCCUAUCCCUUAGUGGGUUCGCCGGUUCAAAUCCGGUCCCCGGCA